RNAcentral lists this ribosomal RNA (465 nucleotides) under uncultured bacterium. RNAcentral describes it as "partial 16S ribosomal RNA". It matches the Rfam family "Bacterial small subunit ribosomal RNA", at positions 338 to 795 of the family's 1533-position model. The record is from RNAcentral.
CCUACGGGAGGCAGCAGUGGGGAAUUUUGCGCAAUGGGCGAAAGCCUGACGCAGCGACGCCGCGUGAGGGAUUAAGGUCUUCGGAUCUUAAACCUCUGUUAGCAGGGAAGAACGGUCACUGUGCUAAUCAGCAGUGAAUUGACGGUACCUGCAAUGGAAGCACCGGCUAACUCCGUGCCAGCAGCCGCGGUAAUACGGCGGGUGCGAGCGGUAAUCGGAAUUACUGGGCGUAAAGCGCUCGUAGGCGGUAUGUCAAGUCAAGGGUGAAAUCCCCGAGCUCAACGUGGGAACUGCCUUUGAUACUGGCAGACUGGAGUGAGUGAGAGGAUAGUGGAAUUCCAGGUGUAGGAGUGAAAUCCGUAGAUAUCUGGAGGAACAUCAGUGGCGAAGGCGACUAUCUGGCACAUAACUGACGCUGAGGAGCGAAGGCGUGGGUAGCAAACAGGAUUAGAUACCCCAGUAGUC